Molecule: long non-coding RNA, 478 nt
Organism: Cryptotermes secundus
Lineage: Eukaryota; Metazoa; Arthropoda; Insecta; Blattodea; Kalotermitidae
Exons: 2
Source: RefSeq, a predicted model, not a curated record
AAUUCAUGGCAAAACAGCUGUUUAUGAAAAAUUAGUCGACAAAUUAAUGUUAUGUCUCAGAAUGUAUAAACUGUUACAACUAUUGCAGUGAGAACCUCAAAUUCUACGAAUUAAUGUUGUUUUUACGCAUGAAACAUUGGUGUUCUGUCUGUUGUGCCCUUACAGUUCUACCCUGAAGAUGGAGGCAGCAAAUUCUUCUAAAAACUUCCACAGCAUUGCCACGGUACAUGAUAUGACAACCCAGAAGAUGGCAGUCUUCAUGGUCACGGAUGCAAGAACCUAGAAUCUCACACUGUUACAGUUUUAGGAACUGAAAUUUUCUAUAUUCUUAUAUUAAAAUACAAAUACACUUACACAGGAAGUCUAUAUGUACACAGACAUACUUAAGGGCAUAUACAAUGGGAUGAAGUAAUAAAGAGUAUGAUUUUGACUAGUACAGUUCUCCUGUAUAUAGAUUCAAUAAAAUGAAAUUAUUUGA